UACGAAGGGGGCUAGCGUUGCUCGGAAUUACUGGGCGUAAAGCGCACGUAGGCGGAUCGUUAAGUCGGGGGUGAAAUCCUGGAGCUCAACUCCAGAACUGCCUUCGAUACUGGCGAGCUCGAGUUCGGGAGAGGUGAGUGGAACUGCGAGUGUAGAGGUGAAAUUCGUAGAUAUUCGCAAGAACACCAGUGGCGAAGGCGGCUCACUGGCCCGAUACUGACGCUGAGGUGCGAAAGCGUGGGGAGCAAACAGG
RNAcentral lists this ribosomal RNA (253 nucleotides) under uncultured bacterium. RNAcentral describes it as "partial 16S ribosomal RNA". It matches the Rfam family "Bacterial small subunit ribosomal RNA", at positions 524 to 776 of the family's 1533-position model. The record is from RNAcentral.